Molecule: long non-coding RNA, 628 nt
Organism: Gossypium raimondii (Peruvian cotton)
Lineage: Eukaryota; Viridiplantae; Streptophyta; Magnoliopsida; Malvales; Malvaceae
Exons: 3
Source: RefSeq, a predicted model, not a curated record
GCCGAUCUGGAGGGCUGUCCGGCAGGCUAUUGCUUCCGCCCCAAAGGCUGAGGAAACUCUUUGAUGAACCUUCGUACAUGAUAGAAGAACUAAACCCUCCUUAUCACGGGCCACAACUCCAAUAGCCGCUUUACUUUGUCUACCAUCGUAUGCUGCAUCGAAAUUGAUUUUGACUACCCUAUCCACUGGCUUUAUCCAUAUUUUUACGGAUGGCCCAUACUGCUACACAAAAAAUUUGAUGCUGAGGAGUCGAGCUUUGUGAGAAAACCCAGGACAUUCCCGGAAGAGAUGGUCCAUGGUUUUAGUUCCUGAACUACAAUGAGGACAUAUUGUCGUAUUCGUCAGUCUUCUAAAUAGCAUAUUAGCACGCGUAGCUAGAAAAUUCCAAGAUAUCUUCCAAACUGUAAUUUUAAUUUUUGAAGGAAGAUCAAGUAACCAUAGUUUCCUGUAGAAAUCCUUGUAGUCGUUUUGUAAAGCAUAAGCUUCAGGGUUAUUUUCAAUGCUUUGUAAUAGUUUAUAGGCGCUCCGUGUUGUGAACUCACCCGUCGCUUCAACGCUCCAAACUUGGAAAUCUUCAUGGACUUUCAGCUAGUGGGAUACUGAGGAUCAUCUCUGCUACAUCCUCCGG